This 1796-nucleotide long non-coding RNA is filed under the name Anser cygnoides (Swan goose). RNAcentral describes it as "lncRNA (ENSACDG00005005696.1)". The record is from RNAcentral. Lineage: Eukaryota; Metazoa; Chordata; Aves; Anseriformes; Anatidae.
AUUAGAUUGCAACUGGUAGAGCACGGUGUUAUCUUCAAGUGCUUUAUGAGACUGCUACACAGCUUCAGCAGGGACCCACCAGACAUGAACUCAGCCAGACGGUCUGAAAGCCACAGGCUAAAAGAGGAUGAUCAUCAAGAGAAACAAGCAAAGAGGAAAGAUCUGUGACUUCCGUCAAGGAACUCUGAGCCCACUGCAAGUUUUCACAUACCCCAGAGAAAGGGUAAGGAAUGGCCAGCGCAUGGAUUUCCAAAUAUUGGGAAGAGCAAGUCUUCUGAAGAGCCAGGUGGCACCUACCCAUCAUGCGGAGCUCAGAUUGCGCGGAUGGGCAAGAGAAUGGAAAACGUGGCCCACAGCAGCUUCGACACGUGGCACAGAGAUUGCAGCUCCGAGAAGGCCGUUUCACCUGCUCUCUCCUCCUCACUCGUUCCUGGCGGUGGCUCCACUUAAAGCUUGGACUUGUGGCUCCAAUCAAGCGAGCGCCCGAAUUCCUAGAGAAUCUGGAAGAAAGGAGAAGAGCGGCCAUUAUGAGAGAGAACACGCUCCAGGUUGGCAAGAUUCGCUUGUGCUCUGUGACCACAUUGCCUCUUCCUGGCAGAAUGGACGUGUUGGCGGUAUUCCCUAACGUUCUUGAGCUCUUGUGUUGAGUCUGGUAAGUGUGUAUAAAUGUAAGAAUGAACAUGGUACAACAAAAAACAUUUCAGUUUUAAAUUUUUUAUAGAAGGCCUGUGUUUCAGGCUGGAAAAAUGCCUCUGCAAUCCACUUAGCUGGGAGUGUGGCUGAAUUGCUUUUCCUGGUUCUUUAUUUGCUCCAUAUUCCUUGAUGUUGUAUCAAGUCUUCCAGCCUGUGUUUCAGGGAGGACCUUAUCCUCACUCUGACGCUGCAGGUCACAUAGCAAAGCCCCCUGGUAAGGCGGUGUAUCUGUCACAAUCAUACGCUUCCAGUUCACAGAAAAGAAAUCCAAUACGAAAGUGACAUGAUAAAAAAUAAGCUGCGUUAAACAAAGAUAUUUUCUGUGUAUCACACCAAAACAUGGUGUAUUUCAUAACAUGGCAGAGCACACUUCAUCAGAAUCCUAGGGAAGAAGCAAACCUGCUAAAAGAAUAACAUUUUGGUGCCAGGGAAGUUAUGCAUGUAAUAGAUCUCUGCUGUAUUUUGCAGAGAUUUGCAGCUACAUUCAUCCUUCGCUAAAAUGUAAUGGCAACAUGUUGUAGGAGCCAGUUCUCCUUAGGGCUUCAUAUUGCAACAAAGGAGCUAUAAAUGAUGUUAUUGAAGUGGUAGGUUUCAGAAGGCAACUGGGAUUUAAUUUCAAUUGAGAGGUGCUUUUGAUUAAUCAGCCUCCUUAAAAGCAGAGCUGUCCAGGAAAAAAUAACCUGCACAGGUUGCUUUUUAGACCCUUGAAGGGGAGGACGUGUGUGCUGUUGCCUGGUUGCGAGAGGUCCCACUCUUUAUCCAGAUCCUCUCUGGCUAGAGCAGGAACUCGAGGAGAGUUCAUUUUCCUGUGUGCAGGCUCCCUGCCCAUUGCAGCGUGUCUGGCAGCUGCCGACGCGACGCGUGCCUCGCUGAGAGGCAGGGCAGAUGGAUGGGGUGGGGAUUGCUGGGCUUUGCUCAGCCUGUCCUCCACUGGCAAUUCUUGCCCGAGAGAAACCUCAGCAUAUUUUUUUUUUUUUUUUUUUUUAAAUUGGGACCCUUUUCUUGAGCGAAAGAAAUGAGCAUGGUGUUUCAUGAUAGGAGUACAAGAGUAUUUGCCUAGAGGGUUUGGAAAAUAAAAUGUACAGUGUGUCAAAGAGUGGACA